UACGUAGGGCGCAAGCGUUGUCCGGAAUUAUUGGGCGUAAAGAGCUCGUAGGCGGCUUGUCGCGUCGGAUGUGAAAGCCCGGGGCUUAACUCCGGGUCUGCAUUCGAUACGGGCAGGCUAGAGUUCGGUAGGGGAGAUCGGAAUUCCUGGUGUAGCGGUGAAAUGCGCAGAUAUCAGGAGGAACACCGGUGGCGAAGGCGACAUCCUGGACCGGUAUUGACGCUGAGGCGCGAAAGCGUGGGGAGCGAACAGG
Molecule: ribosomal RNA, 253 nt
Filed under: uncultured bacterium
Lineage: Bacteria
Description: partial 16S ribosomal RNA
Rfam family: Bacterial small subunit ribosomal RNA
Source: RNAcentral